Molecule: long non-coding RNA, 1346 nt
Organism: Anthonomus grandis grandis
Lineage: Eukaryota; Metazoa; Arthropoda; Insecta; Coleoptera; Curculionidae
Exons: 4
Source: RefSeq, a predicted model, not a curated record
AGCUCUUACGAUAGCCGAGAUAUGGCAUUUUUGAUGCCCAUUUUUGGCCUCAAAAACGGACGUCGAAAACGACUUUUUCGCGAUUUUCAAAGUGCUCUCAUUCCCUUAGUUCUGCUCGGAUCCUGUUAUAACCCGGUGUUUUCGUAAUCUAGGUGACCCAAAUAAGACGCUGGUAUACUUAGUUUGAUUUCGAAAAAAAUCAAUUUUUGGUGAAAAAAUUCGAUACGGGGGGGUAUACCCGAAAAAUGAAAAAUUCCAAACUUUGAAGGUCGAUAUCUCGGCUUCUAUUGGAGCUAUCGGGAAAAUUCCAACGGUUUUGUCUUAGUUUCUUCAUUCAGAAUCCAACGAGACCAUCCGCAAGGUCGUAGCUCUUCUAAUAGCUGAGAUAUGGCAUUUUUGAUGCCCAUUUUUGGCCUCAAAAACGGACGUCGAAAACGACUUUUUCGCGAUUUUCAAAGUGCUCUCAUUCCCUUAGUUCUGCUCGGAUCCUGUUAUAACCCGGUGUUUUCGUAAUCUAGGUGACCCAAAUAAGACGCUGGUGUACUUAGUUUGAUUUCGAAAAAAAUCAAUUUUUGGUGAAAAAAUUCGAUACGGGGGGGUAUACCCGAAAAAUGAAAAAUUCCAAACUUUGAAGGUCGAUAUCUCGGCUUCUAUUGGAGCUAUCGGGAAAAUUCCAACGGUUUUGUCUUAGUUUCUUCAUUCAGAAUCCAACGAGACCAUCCGCAAGGUCGUAGCUCUUCUAAUAGCUGAGAUAUGGCAUUUUUGAUGCCCAUUUUUGGCCUCAAAAACGGACGUCGAAAACGACUUUUUCGCGAUUUUCAAAGUGCUCUCAUUCCCUUAGUUCUGCUCGGAUCCUGUUAUAACCCGGUGUUUUCGUAAUCUAGGUGACCCAAAUAAGACGCUGGUGUACUUAGUUUGAUUUCGAAAAAAAUCAAUUUUUGGUGAAAAAAUUCGAUACGGGGGGGUAUACCCGAAAAAUGAAAAAUUCCAAACUUUGAAGGUCGAUAUCUCGGCUUCUAUUGGAGCUAUCGGGAAAAUUCCAACGGUUUUGUCUUAGUUUCUUCAUUCAGAAUCCAACGAGACCAUCCGCAAGGUCGUAGCUCUUCUAAUAGCUGAGAUAUGGCAUUUUUGAUGCCCAUUUUUGGCCUCAAAAACGGACGUCGAAAACGACUUUUUCGCGAUUUUCAAAGUGCUCUCAUUCCCUUAGUUCUGCUCGGAUCCUGUUAUAACCCGGUGUUUUCGUAAUCUAGGUGACCCAAAUAAGACGCUGGUGUACUUAGUUUGAUUUCGAAAAAAAUCAAUUUUUGGUGAAAAAAUUCGAUACGGGGGGGUAUACCCAAAAAAUG